GUACGUCUUGGUCAGUUACCUCAGAAAAUGCAGUCUUCGUCAACCUGCCGCCAUAGACGGCCGCCUGCUGCCUAGUUAUUCAAAUGAGGGGUAGAACCUUAGCAAAACUCUAUCAGUAUGACGCGUUAUUCCGGCGACUACCAUCCGGAAGCAACAUGGAAGCCCACUGUGGUGACAAGCGUGGUCUUGAGCAUUUAGACGAAUAUGAACCCAAACCAGCAAAACAUAUGCGUAGCCUGCACGAUCGCAUGGCGGAAAGGCGACUAGUAGUUAUUUUAGAGGGGGCAACGCUGGAAACAGUGAAGGUUGGCAAGACAUUUGAACUGCUGAACUGUGACCAACACAAGGGCAUGAUCAUCAAAAGUGGACGGGACCCUGGGAAGAUUCGACCUGACAUUACACAUCAGUGUUUGUUGAUGCUGAUGGACAGUCCAUUGAACAGGGCAGGUCUCCUGCAGGUUUACAUCCACACAGAGAGGAACGCCUUGAUUGAGAUCAACCCACAGACACGCAUCCCCCGAACAUUCAACCGCUUCUGUGGCCUCAUGGUCCAGCUCCUGCACAAGCUGAGUGUGAGGGCGGCUGACGGCCCCCAGCGCCUGCUGAAGCUCAUCAAGAACCCUGUAUCAGACCACCUGCCCCCUGGCUGCCCCCGUAUUUGUACCUCCUUCUCCUCUGGGGAGGCAGUGGGCGCCCGCACCGUGGUACCAGAGGAGGGGCCCGCCGCUGUGGUGGUCGGAGCGUUUGCACACGGAGCGGUGAAUGUGGACUACACAGAGAAGACUGUGUCCAUCAGUAACUACCCUCUCUCUGCUGCCCUCACAUGUGCCAAGAUGUGCUCUGCCUUUGAGGAGGUCUGGGGUGUGUUGUGAUGAAGUUGACAGCGCACUGCUGCUCCAGCUAAAACGGUUGUGAACGUGAACAUUGUCUUACAGGGACUAGAAAUGGAUCGGACAGUCACGUUCAGUCAAGGAACAUUGUACAGAAACGGUCCAUUUCACCAAUUACCUCCUGUGGAUUUGUACGAUACUAUGGGUGUAUGUAUUGUGUGUAAAAUAUGGUAUUUUACAUGUCUCAAUUAAGGCAGAGUUUCAAUAAGAAAUGAAUACUGUUUUGAAUACACCAUCUGUAAGGACUUGGCACCGAAUAUGGUCUUCCUACUUAAAAAAAAAAAUGUAUCCAGUGCAUCAUUGUUCUCAUGGCCAGUUUUAUUGCUUCUUUAAAUGAGAACAGUUUUCAGCUGUGCUAUUAUAAUUGCAAAAGGGUUUCUAAUGAUCAAUUAGCCUUUUAAAAUGAUAAACUUGGAUUAGCUAACACAACAUGCCAUUGGAACACAGGAGUGAUGAUUGAUGAUAAUGGGCCUCUGUACAUCUAUGUAGAUAUUCCAUAUAAAAAUCUGCCGUUUUCCAGCUACAAUAGUCAUUUACAACAUUAACAAUGUCUACACUGCAUUUCUGAUCAAUUUUAUGUUCUUUUAAUGGACAAAAUUGUUUUUUUUUUAAACAAGGACAUUUCUAUGUGACCCCAAACCUUUGAACGGUAGUGUACAUGUAAUUUGUGAGUAACAAUGUAAUAAAAACCAAUACAAUGUUA
Molecule: RNA transcript, 1593 nt
Organism: Salmo salar (Atlantic salmon)
Lineage: Eukaryota; Metazoa; Chordata; Actinopteri; Salmoniformes; Salmonidae
Gene name: ribosomal RNA small subunit methyltransferase NEP1
Source: RefSeq, a predicted model, not a curated record